CUCUCGCGGUUUUCCUGCCUCAAAACUCCGGAAACUUAAGCAGCAUCCCCACGAAGUCCGGCACAGAUCCGGAGGCACAAAGGAGGUAGGACAAUGGCUAUCGGAAGAGUUAAGUGGUUCAACGACGCCAAGGGUUUUGGGUUCAUCGAGCAGGACAAUGGCGAGGAUGUGUUCGUACAUUUCUCCGCCAUCCAGCAGGAUGGUUUCAAGUCCCUCGCCGAGGGUGAGCAAGUUUCCUUCGACGUGGUGAAUGGCCCCAAGGGGCUUCAGGCCGCCAACGUCAAGAAGGCCUAAACAAGGCCCUCAUAGCUUAACCGACAAAAAGCCCGCUGGUUCAUCCAGCGGGCUUUUUG
This 353-nucleotide small RNA is filed under the name Geobacter sulfurreducens PCA. Its description in RNAcentral is "cspA thermoregulator". It matches the Rfam family "cspA thermoregulator", at positions 72 to 428 of the family's 428-position model. Lineage: Bacteria; Pseudomonadati; Thermodesulfobacteriota; Desulfuromonadia; Geobacterales; Geobacteraceae. The record is from Rfam by way of RNAcentral.